This 1110-nucleotide ribosomal RNA is filed under the name Triticum aestivum (bread wheat). Its description in RNAcentral is "partial small subunit ribosomal RNA". Lineage: Eukaryota; Viridiplantae; Streptophyta; Magnoliopsida; Poales; Poaceae. The record is from RNAcentral.
AUGGGCAUGGAGAUGAUCACGAAUGUGUCCGAGUACGAGAGGCUCGCCAAGGAGAAGCUGCCGAAGAUGGUGUACGACUACUACGCCUCCGGCGCAGAGGAUCAGUGGACGCUCAACGAGAACAGGGAGGCCUUCUCCAGGAUACUGUUCCGACCACGCGUACUGAUUGAUGUGACCCAUAUCAACAUGGCGACAAACAUCUUGGGCUUCGACGUCUCCAUGCCGAUCAUGAUCGCUCCCACAGCCAUGCAGAAAAUGGCUCAUCCUGAAGGAGAGCUUGCUACUGCAAGAGCAGCGGCAUCUGCAGGGACCAUAAUGACAUUGUCUUCAUGGGCUACUUCUAGUGUGGAAAGGGUUAACUCAGUAGGGCCCGGGAUACGUUUCUUCCAGCUUUAUGUUUACAAGGACAGGAAUAUAGUUCGGCAACUCGUGAAAAGGGCUGAAAUGGCCGGGUUCAAGGCGAUCGCUCUCACCGUCGACACUCCAAGGCUCGGCCGCAGGGAAGCCGAUAUCAAGAACAGGUUCAUCUUGCCUCCACACCUGGUGCUGGAGAACUUUGCGGCGCUGGACCUCGGCAAGAUGGACAAGACAGAUGAUUCCGGGCUGGCUUCCUACGUUGCUAGCCAGGUCGACCAAUCUCUUUGUUGGGAGGACGUCAAGUGGUUGCAGACAAUUACCUCGUUGCCGAUCUUGGUGAAAGGGGUCAUGACUGCAGAAGACACUAGGAUUGCCAUCGAGUACGGCGCGGCCGGCAUCAUCGUGUCCAACCAUGGCGCUCGGCAGCUGGACUACGUCCCUGCAACCAUCAGCUGCCUGGAAGAGGUUGUCAGAGAGGCGAAGGGGCAGCUGCCGGUGUUCCUCGACGGCGGCGUCCGGCGCGGCACCGACGUGUUCAAGGCGCUGGCGCUAGGAGCCGCGGGAGUGUUCAUCGGGAGGCCGGUGCUGUACUCGCUGGCGGUGGACGGCGAGGCGGGGGUACGGAAGGUGCUGCAGAUGCUGCGGGACGAGCUGGAGCUGGCCAUGGCGCUCAGCGGGUGCCCGUCGCUCCGGGACAUCACCCGCGCCCACGUCGUCACCGACGGCGACAGGAUCCGCCGCGCACGCCUCUAG